GAUGAAGAACGUAGCGAAAUGCGAUAAGUAAUGUGAAUUGCAGAAUUCAGUGAAUCAUCGAAUCUUUGAACGCACAUUGUGCCCUCUGGUAUUCCGGGGGGCAUGCCUGUUCGAGCGUCAUUACAACCCUCAAGCUUUGCUUGGUAUUGGACAUUGCCAGUUUCUGGCAGGUCUUAAAAUCAGUGGCGGUGCCAUUUGGCUUCAAGCGUAGUAAUUCUUCUCGCUUUGGAGAUCCAGGUGGUUACUUGCCAAUAACCCCCAAUUUUUUCAGGUUGACCUCGGAUCAGGUAGGGAUACCCGCUGAACUUAAGCAUAUCAAUAAGCGGGGA
This 329-nucleotide unclassified non-coding RNA is filed under the name soil metagenome. RNAcentral describes it as "partial contains 5.8S ribosomal RNA, internal transcribed spacer 2, and large subunit ribosomal RNA". The stretch from base 1 to 120 matches the Rfam family "5.8S ribosomal RNA", at positions 35 to 154 of the family's 154-position model. The record is from RNAcentral.